RNAcentral lists this ribosomal RNA (541 nucleotides) under uncultured archaeon. RNAcentral describes it as "bacterial SSU rRNA". It matches the Rfam family "Archaeal small subunit ribosomal RNA", at positions 457 to 997 of the family's 1478-position model. The record is from RNAcentral.
GGCAGCAGCCGCGGUAACACCGGCGGCCCGAGUGGUGAUCGUGAUUAUUGGGUCUAAGGGUCCGUAGCCGGUUUGGUCAGUCCUCCGGGAAAUCUGAUAGCUCAACUAUUAGGCUUUCGGGGGAUACUGCCAGACUUGGAACCGGGAGAGGUAAGAGGUACUACAGGGGUAGGAGUGAAAUCUUGUAAUCCCUGUGGGACCACCUGUGGCGAAGGCGUCUUACCAGAACGGGUUCGACGGUGAGGGACGAAAGCUGGGGGCACGAACCGGAUUAGAUACCCGGGUAGUCCCAGCCGUAAACGAUGCUCGCUAGGUGUCAGGCAUGGCGCGACCGUGUCUGGUGCCGCAGGGAAGCCGUGAAGCGAGCCACCUGGGAAGUACGGCCGCAAGGCUGAAACUUAAAGGAAUUGGCGGGGGAGCACAACAACGGGUGGAAGCCUGCGGUUUAAUUGGACUCAACGCCGGACAACUCACCGGGGGCGACAGCAAUAUGUAGGCCAAGCUGAAGACUUUGCCUGAAUCGCUGAGAAGAGGUGCAUGG